ACCCUCUCAGGGUUGCACCUAGAGAGUUUCCAGUACUCUACCAAUCUCGACUAGAGGAGGGAGAGUCAAGCAGAAGCGUACCCAUUCCAUUGCUAGCUUGGUCAGUGGCUAGAGAGUGGAAGGCAAUCUGCUACAAGU
This is a small nucleolar RNA of Tachyglossus aculeatus (Australian echidna), 138 nucleotides long. Lineage: Eukaryota; Metazoa; Chordata; Mammalia; Monotremata; Tachyglossidae. The record is from RefSeq and is a predicted model, not a curated record.